Molecule: non-coding RNA, 72 nt
Organism: Phrynosoma platyrhinos (Desert horned lizard)
Lineage: Eukaryota; Metazoa; Chordata; Lepidosauria; Squamata; Phrynosomatidae
Source: the annotation of a GenBank genome assembly
GACAAUGUGGCAUAGUGGUUUGAGCAUUGGACUAUGACUCUGCAGACCAGAGUUUGAAUCCCGGCUCAGUCA